GUACUACUGAGGAGCCCUACAAUAGGACGAAAUGGUCGUCCAGUAC
Schistosoma mansoni is the source of this 46-nucleotide non-coding RNA. The record is from Rfam. NCBI's taxonomy places the organism in Eukaryota, Metazoa, Platyhelminthes, Trematoda, Strigeidida, Schistosomatidae.